GGGGGUAUAGCUCAGCUGUAGAGAUUUGAUUGCAGAUGAAGUAGUCCUUGGUUCAAAUCCAGGUGCCCCCC
RNAcentral lists this transfer RNA (71 nucleotides) under Chelonia mydas (Green sea turtle). It matches the Rfam family "tRNA". From Rfam's summary of the family: Transfer RNA (tRNA) molecules are approximately 80 nucleotides in length. The record is from Rfam by way of RNAcentral. Lineage: Eukaryota; Metazoa; Chordata; Testudines; Cheloniidae.